RNAcentral lists this transfer RNA (75 nucleotides) under Candidatus Roizmanbacteria bacterium CG_4_10_14_0_8_um_filter_36_36. RNAcentral's name for it is "tRNA-Asn". It matches the Rfam family "tRNA". From Rfam's summary of the family: Transfer RNA (tRNA) molecules are approximately 80 nucleotides in length. Their secondary structure includes four short double-helical elements and three loops (D, anti-codon, and T loops). Further hydrogen bonds mediate the characteristic L-shaped molecular structure. tRNAs have two regions of fundamental functional importance: the anti-codon, which is responsible for specific mRNA codon recognition, and the 3' end, to which the tRNAs corresponding amino acid is attached (by aminoacyl-tRNA synthetases). tRNAs cope with the degeneracy of the genetic code in two manners: having more than one tRNA (with a specific anti-codon) for a particular amino acid; and 'wobble' base-pairing, i.e. permitting non-standard base-pairing at the 3rd anti-codon position. The record is from RNAcentral. Lineage: Bacteria; Candidatus Roizmaniibacteriota. RNAcentral also lists the same sequence under 4 other names.
UCCCUUGUAGCUCAAUGGUAGAGCAUUCGCCUGUUAAGCGAAGGGUUGCGCGUUCGAGUCGCGCCGGGGGAGCAA